Molecule: non-coding RNA, 498 nt
Organism: Chelonoidis abingdonii (Abingdon island giant tortoise)
Lineage: Eukaryota; Metazoa; Chordata; Testudines; Testudinidae
Source: RefSeq, a predicted model, not a curated record
UGCUAGAAGAGAACGCAGUGGGCUCAUGGGCCAGAGCAGCCAGCUGCAGAGAGGGAGGGCAGAGAGGUUGCCUUCCUCACAGCAUCCUGCCUGCGGGGCCAGGAACAAUGCUAUUCACGUGAGUGGGAGUCCAAGCUCCUACAUGGCUCAUGUGCUCCAAACCAAUGCUCUGAGCUCUUCAAUUUGGAAAAUGGCAUACAGCCCAGAAUAAAAAUGAAGACAGAUUUGAUGACAUUUGGGCUCUUGAUCCCAAGAUGUUAUGAUCACACUGUAGAAGGAAGGAAAAUUCCUUCUGGCUGGCAGUGUAAUGCUUGGAAAUGGCGCUGUGCUCCCUUUUCUUACUCAACACAGGAAAUUGUGUAUGUAACAAUUGAUGCAACUUACUGUAAAUGAAACAAGUGACUGUGUACAUGUGCAGUGGUUAUGUGGGAGGGAAGGAUGAAGGAAAAUACAAAAGCUGUCUUUGACUUAGUUAAUAAAAUGCUACUGCUGGUUUGG